UAGUAAGUUAGUAAGGGCGCAUGAUGGAUGCCUUGGCGUACGGAGCCGAUGAAGGACGCAGCAAGCCUGCGAUAGGCCACGGUGAGCUGCAAAACAAGCUUUGAUCCGUGGAUUUCCGAAUGGGGAAACCCGUGAAGGUAAAACCUUCACAUUCUUAUCUGAAUACAUAGGGUAAGAAGGGGAACUAAGGGAACUGAAACAUCUUAGUACCUUAAGGAAAAGAAAUCAACCGAGAUUCCCUGAGUAGUGGCGAGCGAAAGGGGAAGAGUCUAAACCAUCUGCAUGCAUAAGCUGGAAGGCGUUGUGCAGAUGGAGUCGUGGGACGAGCGAUCUCCCUCUUCCAAGGGAGUGUGGAGUCAAAAAUAAACUGUUUAGCUUAAUGCUUUGGAAAGAGCAACCAAAGAGGGUGAUAGUCCCGUAGGCGAAAAGCAGUUUACUCCUAUAGCUUGUUCCCAAGUACCACGGGGCACGUGAAAUCCUGUGGGAAUCAGGGAGGACCACCUUCCAAGACUAAAUACUCCGACGACCGAUAGUGAACAUAGUACCGCGAGGGAAAGGUGAAAAGAACCCCGGGAGGGGAGUGAAAUAGAAUCUGAAAUCAUGCGCUUACAAUGGGUAGGAGGGCUAUGAAGCAGCAAUGCUUCAGCCUGACUGCGUGCCUAUUGAGGUAUGACCCAAGGAGUUGAUGGUAAUGGCAAGGCUAAGGGUAGAACCCGGAGCCGUAGCGAAAGCGAGUCCGAAUAGGGCGUUAGUCGUUAUCAUCAGACUCGAAACCAGGUGGCCAACCCAUGGCCAGGGUGAAACGGGUGUAAAAGCCCGUGGAGGCCCGAACCGUUCGGGGGAAAAAACUCGUCGGAUGAGCUGUGGGUAGGAGAGAAAUUCUAACCGAACCUGGAGAUAGCUAGUUCUCGCCGAAAUGCAUUUAGGUGCAGCGGUAGGUCAUUGGCACGUGGAGGUAGAGCUCUGGAUGGGCUAGGGGUCUUACCAGGCUUCCGAACCCAACCAAACUUCGAAUGCCACGUUGCUGUAUCUUACCAGUGAGUCGGUGGGCUCUAAGGUCCAUCGUCGAGUAGGGGAACAACCCGGAUCGUCUGCUAAGGUCCCUAAAGUAGACUAAGUGUAUCAAAGGAUGUAGGACUGCAUAGACAGCUAGGAGGUUAGCUCAGAAGCAGCUAUCCUUUAAAGAGUGCGUAACAGCUCACUAGUCGAGCGGUCCCGCGCCGAAAAUGUUCGGGGCUAAGUCUACUACCGAAGCAGCGGGUUCAAGAUAUCUUCGGAUAUUUUGAGCGGUAGGCGAGCGUUCCAGUUGCAGAGAAGGUAUACCGUAAGGAGUACUGGAGCGACUGGAAGUGAGAAUCUUGGGUUGAGUAACGAAAAACAGGGUAAGAAUCCCUGUCGCCGUAAGUCUAAGGUUUCCUGGGGAAGGUUCGUCCGCCCAGGGUUAGUCGGUCCUAAGCCGAGGCCGAAAGGCGUAGGUGAUGGACAACAGGUUAAUAUUCCUGUACUACAUAUCUUCCGUUAUCAGGACGGGGUGACAGAGGAGGAUAGACCAAGCGCGGUUUUGGUUGUCUGCGUCCAAGCUUGUAGGAGGUAUCCGGAGGCAAAUCCCUGGAUGCAUUAACUCUGAGAAGCGAUGGGGAGCCGCAAGGUGAAGUGGUUGAUUCCAAACUCUCAAGAAAAACCUCUAACGAGGAAGAUGUGUAUCCGUACCGCAAUCCAACACAGGUAGACGGGGAGCACGCUCCCAAGGCGUUCGAAAGAAUCCUCUUCAAGGAACUCGGCAAGUUUGCCCCGUAACUUUGGAAGAAGGGGUGCCUGGAAAGGUGGUAAGAACAUUGCUUUUUAUUGCUUUUCUGGGUCACAGUAAACAGGCUCAGGCGACUGUUUAACAAAAACACAGGUCUCUGCUAAGUCGUAAAGACGACGUAUAGGGGCCGACGCUUGCCCGGUGCUGGAAGGUUACAGGGAGGGGUUAGCUGGCGUAAGCCGGCGAAGCUCCGAACUUAAGCCCCAGUGAACGGCGGCCGUAACUAUAGGUUGACCGCUGUAGUUAUAAAAUCUGGCUAUAUGCUGGAAAAUCCGGUUAGUAUCUGGCGUUACGAGAGAAAAUUUUCUCCGUAAAAAUACGUCCAGUGCGGACAAUCAGCAGGAAAGAUCUGAAGGGAGGAUCCAUGCGAAGGGAAUUAGGUUAUUACCUUGCAGGUUUUACAGAUGGUGAAGGAAGUUUCAAUGUUGUCUUUAGGCCUCGCAAGGAUUAUAAAAUGCCAUGGAAAGUUUCACUCUGCUUCAAUAUUUCCCAAAAAGAUAAAGUAAUUCUAUCUUUGUUUAAGCGCUAUUUAGGUUGUGGUACUUUGCGUUCAUGACCAGAUGGUGUCUGGUAUUAUGAGGUAAACGACUUUAAUGCUAUUUGGGAAAAGGUAAUUCCUUUUUUCAGGGAAUAUGGUUUUCUUUCUUCUAAAAAGAAAAAAGAUUUCUCAAAAUUCUGUCAAAUCGCAGAAAUCAUUAAAAAACAGGAACAUCUCACAGAAGAUGGUAUUAAGAAAAUAGUUGAGCUUAGACGAGACAUGAAUGAUGGUGGAAAAAGGAAGUUCAGUGAAGAAGAGAUCCUCCAAAGACUUCAGAAAUCCUCAGAGACUAUACGCCAGACUACACAAAAAGUGUAGAUGAUAUAGUCCGGUCUCCAUAGCGAUAUGGAGGAUUGGCAGAAGUUUUGCCAAUCGCCCUGAAUUUAAAAAGGGUAACGUAACGAACGGUCCUAAGGUAGCGAAAUACCUUGUCGGGUAAGUUCCGACGCGCAUGAAAAGCGUAACGAUCUGAGCGCCGUCUCGAAGAGGAAUUCGGUGAAAUAACGGUGGUCGUACAGACGCGGCCUACCCGUAGCAGGACGGGAAGACCCCGUGGAGCUUUACUGUACCCUGAUACUGAACUUCGGUAUACCUUGUAUAGGAUAUGUGGGAGGCUGAGAACCCAGGGCGCCAGUUCUGGGGGAGCCAACGGUGGAAUACCACACUUGGUAUGCUGAAGUUCUAACUUCUGACCCUAAUCGGGUAGAAGGACAAUGUCAGGCGGGCAGUUUGACUGGGGCGGUCGCCUCCUAAAAAGUAACGGAGGUGUCCAAAGGUUCCCUCAGGCUGGUUGGAAAUCAGCCGUUGAGUAUAAAGGCAUAAGGGAGCUUGACUGCCUAGACCGACAGGUCGAACAGACACGAAAGUGGGGCUUAAUGAUCCGGCGGUGGUGUGUGGAAACGCCGUCGCUCAACGGAUAAAAGCUACCCCGGGGAUAACAGGCUGAUUUUUCCCGAGAGUUCAUAUCGACGGGAAAGUUUGGCACCUCGAUGUCGGCUCAUCGCAUCCUGGGGCUGGAUAAGGUCCCAAGGGUCCGGCUGUUCGCCGGUUAAAGCGGUACGUGAGCUGGGUUCAGAACGUCGUGAGACAGUUCGGUCCUAAUCCGCUAUGGGCGUAGGAGGUUUGAAGGGGGUUUACCGGUAGUACGAGAGGACCCCGGUAAGGAGACCGCUGGUGGACCAGUUGUCCCACCAGGGGCAGGAGCUGGGUAGCUAAGUCUCUACUGGAUAAGCGCUGAAAGCAUCUCAAGCGUGAAGCCUACCCCAAGAUUAGACCUCCCAUCCUUGCGCAAGCGAGGAGUAAGAUCCCUUGUAGACUACAAGGUUGAUAGGCCAGAGGUGUAAGCGCAGUAAUGCGUUUAGCUGACUGGUACUAAUAGAUCGAGGACUUACUAUA
RNAcentral lists this ribosomal RNA (3740 nucleotides) under Candidatus Atribacteria bacterium. Its description in RNAcentral is "23S ribosomal RNA". It matches the Rfam family "Bacterial large subunit ribosomal RNA". Lineage: Bacteria; Pseudomonadati; Atribacterota; Atribacteria. The record is from RNAcentral.